Molecule: long non-coding RNA, 965 nt
Organism: Pipra filicauda (Wire-tailed manakin)
Lineage: Eukaryota; Metazoa; Chordata; Aves; Passeriformes; Pipridae
Exons: 4
Source: RefSeq, a predicted model, not a curated record
UUACAGGGUGUUCCAUCCUGGGAAUGGGGCUCUGGCAGGGGAUUUUUUCAUGUCCUCUGCAUCUUUUAACACAGACUUUCGGGGGUUCCUGGCCAAAGCACCUGCUUUUACUCAGAUUUAAAGAAGGAUAGUUAUUUAUGGAAACAAAUUAAACUGUAGUGUCUUAAAUGAAGGCAAAGUUUUUGCUUGAAAAGGCAAGAGGGGUGAGGCACCUACAGAAACCAUUUGUACCAGCAGUAGGUUUAGGAAACAGGCAGGAAUUGAUCCUGCAAAAUGUGACUUGUGUUUAAAAGCAGUGCACAUAACAAGGCAUCUUGGAGCCUUUGCUGUUCUUCCCACUGUUGAUUCCAGCAAGGCAUUGUGCCUGGCAUCCAGAGAGUGCUCUGUGUGACAUGCAUUUAAAGCAGGAGGGGUUUUUAGUGCCAAAACAUCUUAACUCAUCUUCCUCAAAGCUAAUGAGAUCGGGAUUCAAAAACCUAUAAUUCAUCUUAAACGGGUAAAACGUCUCCAGCCCCGUGACCUGGCUCCUGUUUCUCCACCACAAGGCACUGAAUCUCAUCCCACCGCCUUAUUCUCCAGCUGACUUCCUCCCCCAUGCAGCAGUCAGUGUCCAAACAGAAGGACUGUUUCCAAUCAGUUCAGCACUCGAUCUGGCACUCGAUCAGUAACUGCUUUAUGUCGGAGGCCUUUGUUGGAUUUCAGGCUCAGUGUGACUCAGAACGCAGCACUCCUGCUAACUAAGAAGACGGGUGAACAGUGCCCAUGCUGAAGAGCCCAUUUUGUUGCCACACUCAGCUCCUGCAGAGAAAUGUGGAAAGGGUGUGGUCUGGAAUGAUCUGCUGCUAAGUGGGAAGGAGCGGUAGGAUCAGGUGGGAACACCAAAAACCUUGCUCCUUUCCUGACUCUGCUAAUGAGCAGCUCCAAGGGACUUCCCUGAUCCUUGUCCAGCCUCAUAUCCUGGCAAA